This 184-nucleotide ribosomal RNA is filed under the name uncultured bacterium. RNAcentral's name for it is "partial 16S ribosomal RNA". It matches the Rfam family "Bacterial small subunit ribosomal RNA", at positions 1319 to 1500 of the family's 1533-position model. The record is from RNAcentral.
CGUGAAGUCGGAAUCGCUAGUAAUCGCGGAUCAGCAUGCCGCGGUGAAUACGUUCCCGGGCCUUGUACACACCGCCCGUCACACCAUGAGAGUCGGGAACACCCGAAGCCCGUAGCCUAACUUUAACGAGAGGGCGCGGUCGAAGGUGGGUUCGAUAAUUGGGGUGAAGUCGUAACAAGGUAGC